AUUGAACGCUGGCGGCAGGCCUAACACAUGCAAGUCGAGCGAGCGGCGGACGGGCGAGUAAUGUCCGGGAAACUGCCUGAUGGAGGGGGAAAACUACCGGAAACGGUAGCUAAUACCGCAUACCAUCAGAUGUGCCCAGAUGGGAUUAGCUAGUAGGUGGGGUAACGGCUCACCUAGGCGACGAUCCCUAGCUGGUCUGGGAGGAUGACCAGCCACGCUGGAACUGAGACACGGUCCAGGCUCCGACGGGAGGCAGCAGUGGGGAAUAUUGCACAAUGGGCACAAGCCUGAUGCAGCCGUGCCGCGUGUGUGAAGAAGGCCUUCGGGUUGUAAAGCACUUUCAGCGGGGAGGCGUUACCCGCAGAAGAAGCACCGGCUAGCUCCGUGCCAGCAGCCGCGGUAAUUC
RNAcentral lists this ribosomal RNA (406 nucleotides) under uncultured bacterium. RNAcentral describes it as "partial 16S ribosomal RNA". It matches the Rfam family "Bacterial small subunit ribosomal RNA", at positions 29 to 526 of the family's 1533-position model. The record is from RNAcentral.